This 472-nucleotide ribosomal RNA is filed under the name uncultured bacterium. RNAcentral's name for it is "bacterial SSU rRNA". It matches the Rfam family "Bacterial small subunit ribosomal RNA", at positions 355 to 825 of the family's 1533-position model. The record is from RNAcentral.
UGGGGAAUUUUGGACAAUGGGGGCAACCCUGAUCCAGCCAUGCCGCGUGAGUGAAGAAGGCCUUCGGGUUGUAAAGCUCUUUCGGCGGGGACGAAACGGUCCGUGACAACACCACGGACUAAUGACAGUACUCGCAGAAGAAGCACCGGCUAACUACGUGCCAGCAGCCGCGGUAAUACGUAGGGUGCAGGCGUUAAUCGGAAUUACUGGGCGUAAAGCGUGCGCAGGCGGCUCCUUAAGUCAGAUGUGAAAUCCCCGGGCUUAACCUGGGAACUGCGUUUGAAACUGAGGGGCUAGAGUGUGGAAGAGGGGGGUGGAAUUCCAGGUGUAGCAGUGAAAUGCGUAGAUAUCGGGAGGAACACCUGUGGCGAAGGCGGCCACCUGGUUGGAUACUGACGCUGAGACGCGAAAGCGUGGGGAGCAAACAGGAUUAGAUACCCAGGUAGUCCCUGAGCGGGCUGGCAAGGCGCAU